This 278-nucleotide unclassified non-coding RNA is filed under the name Glomus sp. RNAcentral describes it as "partial contains 5.8S ribosomal RNA and internal transcribed spacer 2". The stretch from base 1 to 71 matches the Rfam family "5.8S ribosomal RNA", at positions 84 to 154 of the family's 154-position model. The record is from RNAcentral. Lineage: Eukaryota; Fungi; Glomeromycota; Glomeromycetes; Glomerales; Glomeraceae.
GUGAAUCAUCAAAUCUUUGAACGCAAAUUGCACUUCCUGGUAUUCUGGAAAGUAUGCCUGUUUGAGGGUCAGUUAAAUAAAAAUCGGAGUUGUUGCUGCUUUUCGUGGUGACGCGUCGGAAUUGAGUUGUCUUACUUUCGGUUAAGUGACUUAAAAUUUUGCAUGAUUUUCGAACGUAUUUAGAUCGCUUACGUACGUUUGAGAUAUCGAAUGUUUAUUAGGUUUGGUCAUCCCCUUGAUUAUCGCUUAUAAUUUUUUAUUAAAUGAACUCAAAUCAG